Non-coding RNA from Pelobates cultripes (western spadefoot toad), 203 nucleotides. Lineage: Eukaryota; Metazoa; Chordata; Amphibia; Anura; Pelobatidae. The record is from the annotation of a GenBank genome assembly.
GGCAUAGAGUCCAGCAGUACCAUCCAGCUGGGCUGCAGAAGGUGCAGGCAGACAUGUGCUCUGCUCCAUAGAAGCCACUGGCUUGGGUAAGAGACUGGCUACAAGGGUGUCCUUGUGGGGCCAUGGGGCAGCAGGGGGUGAUAUCACCCGAGGUUGGUUGGCAAGUCAGCACCAGAAUUUCUGACAUAUAGCCUCAAACCUGU